GUCAAAUGACUUAAGGCAAAUGGCGGAGACCUAGGCACACAGAGACGAUGAAGGGCGCGGGUACCGGCGAUACGCUUCGGGGAGCUGGAAGCAAGCUUUGAUCCGAAGAUUCCCGAAUAGGGCAACCACUUGUACUUCCUACAGAAUUCAUAAUGAGGAAAGAGGCAACCCGGUGAAUUGAAACAUCUUAGUAGCCGGAGGAAAAGAAAGCAAAAGCGAUUCCCGUAGUAGCGGCGAGCGAACCGGGAACAGCCUAAACCGAUUUUAAAAGUCGGGGUUGUGGGAGGACUAGAAUAGUAAAUCUGAAGAUAGUUCAGGACUACAAUCAAUAACGUUGAUCGUAAAAGCUAUUUGAAAUUAAUCAAAUUCUGAACAAAGUUCAUAUUUGGAAAAGUUUAAACGAAGCAGCUGAAUCCUGCACCAUAGAUGGUGAAAGUCCAGUAGUUGAAAGCUUUGAUAAUGUCUUAUCCCGAGUAGCAUGGGGCACGUGAAAUCCCGUGUGAAUCUGCGAGGACCACCUCGUAAGGCUAAAUACUCCUGUGUGACCGAUAGCGAAAUAGUACUGCGAAGGAAAGGUGAAAAGAACCCCCGUUGGGGAGUGAAAUAGAACAUGAAACCAUUUGCUGACAAGCAGUGGGAGGGUUAUGUGCCUGACCGCGUGCCUGUUGAAGAAUGAGCCGGCGACUUAUAGGAAGUGGCAGGGUUAAGGACUAAAAUCCGGAGCCCAAGCGAAAGCGAGUCUGAAUAGGGCGACAUUGGUCACUUCUUAUGGACCCGAACCCGGGUGAUCUAAUCAUGACCAGGAUGAAGCUUGGGUAAUACCAAGUGAAGGUCCGUACCGCCCGACGUUGAAAAGUCGACGGAUGAGUUAUGAUUAGCGGAGAAAUUCCAAUCGAACUCGGAGCUAGCUGGAUCUCCUCGAAAUGCGUUGAGGCGCAGCGGUGACGACGAGCGAACUAAGGGUAAAGCACUGUUUCGAUACGGGCUGCGAAAGCGGUACCAAGUCGUGGCAAACUCAGAAUAUUAGUUCUCGCUUUCCGUGAACCAGUGAGACAGUGGGGGAUAAGCUUCAUUGUCAAGAGGGAAACAGCCCAGAUCACCAGCUAAGGCCCCUAAAUGGCCGCUAAGUGGAAAAGGAUGUGAGAAUGCUCAAACAACUAGGAGGUUUGCUUAGAAGCAGCCACCCUUUAAAGAAAGCGUAAAAGCUCACUAGUUUAGCGUUCUUGCGCCGACAAUGGCCGGGACUAAGCGGCCUGCCGAAGCUGUGGGAUUUCUUAAUUUAAAAGGAAUCGGUAGAGGAGCGUUCCGCUGCGGGUGAAGCAUUAACGAAAGUAAUUGUGGACGAAGCGGAAGUGAGAAUGUCGGCUUGAGUAACGAAAACAUUGGUGAGAAUCCAAUGCCCCGAAAACCUAAGGGUUCCUCCACAAGGUUCGUCCGUGGGGGGUGAGUCAGGACCUAAGGCUAGGCUGAAAAGCGUCGUCGAUGGAAAACAGGUUAAUAUUCCUGUACUCAUUUUUAUGGGAACCGAGGGACGAAGGAGGCUAAACUGAGUCUGUGUAUGGAAUGCAGUGGAAGCGUUUAGGUAUUGACAGGUAGAAUAAAAACUAUCCUGGAGCUAAGGCGUAAUCCGGUUCUAGUUUUACGACUAGAACUUCAGUGAUGUCAUACUUCCUAGAAAAGCUCGAACUCCUCUCUUUUGAGAUAAAACAUAAAAAUGACCUGUACCUGAAACCGACACAGGUAGGUAGGUAGAGAAUACCAAGGGGCGCGAGAGAACUCUCUCUAAGGAACUCGGCAAACUGGCCCCGUAACUUCGGAAGAAGGGGCGUCUCUCUAUUGAAGAGAGAUCGCAGUGACCAGGCCCAGGCGACUGUUUACCAAAAACACAGGUCUCCGCAAAGUCGUAAGACAAUAUAUGGGGGCUGACGCCUGCCCAGUGCCGGAAGGUGAAGGAAGUUGGUUAUUUCUUCGGAAAAAAGCUGACGACCGAAGCCCCGGUGAACGGCGGCCGUAACUAUGACGGUCCUAAGGUAGCGAAAUUCAUUGUCGAGUAAGUUUCGACCUGCACGAAAGGCGUAACGAUCUGGGCGCUGUCUCGGAGAGAGACUCGGUGAAAUAGACUUGUCCGUGAAGAUGCGGACUACCUAAACCAAGACAGAAAGACCCUAUGAAGCUUGACUGUAUUCUGGAAUUGGGUUUGGGCUCUUCUUGCGCAGUCUAGGUGGGAGGCGACGAAGAUUCUCUUCCGGGGGAGUUGGAGCCAUCAGUGAGAGACCACUCUGGAAGAGCUAGAAUCCUAAUGGCGAUCCUUGAAUCAGGACGCUUGACAGUUUCAGAUGGGCAGUUUAUUUGGGGCGAAUGCCUCCUAAAAGGUAACGGAGGUGUGCAAAGGUUCCCUCAAUCUGGACGGAAAUCAGAUGUUGAGUGUAAAGGCAGAAGGGAGCUUGACUGCAAGACCUACAAGUCGAGCAGGGGCGAAAGCCGGCCUUAGUGAUCCGACGGUGCCGCGUGGAAGGGCCGUCGCUCAACGGAUAAAAGUUACUCUAGGGAUAACAGGCUAAUCUUUUCAGAGAGUUCAUAUCGACGAAAAGGUUUGGCACCUCGAUGUCGGCUCCUCGUCGCUCCGGUCUGUAGUAGGUCCGAAGAGUUGGGCUGUUCGCCCAUUAAAACGGGACGUGAGCUGGGUUCAGAACGUCGUGAGACAGUUCGGUCCAUAUCUGGUUUAGGCGUAAGAGCAUUGAGAGGAGACCCCAUUAGUACGAGAGGACCUUGGGGGACGCACCGAUGGUAUAUCAGUUCUUUCUCCAGAAGGAAACGCUGACUAGCUAAGUGCGGAGUGGAUAACCGCUGAAAGCAUCUAAGUGGGAAGCCCACCUCAAGAUGAGUGCUCUCCAUUAGGCCACGGGAAGACUACCCGAUAGAUAGGUACCAAGUGUAAGGCUAGUAAUAGUUUCAGCUGAGGUAUACUAAAGGCCGAUUGAUUUUGAC
Molecule: ribosomal RNA, 2988 nt
Filed under: Ankyra judayi
Lineage: Eukaryota; Viridiplantae; Chlorophyta; Chlorophyceae; Sphaeropleales; Sphaeropleaceae
Description: LSU rRNA
Rfam family: Bacterial large subunit ribosomal RNA
Source: RNAcentral